GAGGCAUCUCUUAAAUAUCAAAGGUGAGCCAGUACAGGAUGGACCCGCGUCUGAUUAGCUAGUUGGUAAGGUAACGGCUUACCAAGGCAACGAUCAGUAGCCGACCUGAGAGGGUGAUCGGCCACAUUGGAACUGAGACACGGUCCAAACUCCUACGGGAGGCAGCAGUGGGGAAUAUUGCACAAUGGGCGAAAGCCUGAUGCAGCAACGCCGCG
This 215-nucleotide ribosomal RNA is filed under the name Clostridioides difficile. Its description in RNAcentral is "partial 16S ribosomal RNA". It matches the Rfam family "Bacterial small subunit ribosomal RNA", at positions 185 to 401 of the family's 1533-position model. Lineage: Bacteria; Bacillati; Bacillota; Clostridia; Peptostreptococcales; Peptostreptococcaceae. The record is from RNAcentral.